AGUAAGGUGACUGAGAGACAAGUGGUGGAUUGUAAACCCAUAAACAGAGGUUAAACUCCUCUUCUUACUA
This 70-nucleotide transfer RNA is filed under the name Eucidaris tribuloides. Its description in RNAcentral is "tRNA-Tyr". It matches the Rfam family "tRNA". Rfam says of the family: Transfer RNA (tRNA) molecules are approximately 80 nucleotides in length. Their secondary structure includes four short double-helical elements and three loops (D, anti-codon, and T loops). The record is from RNAcentral. Lineage: Eukaryota; Metazoa; Echinodermata; Echinoidea; Cidaroida; Cidaridae.